Rattus norvegicus (Norway rat) is the source of this 1029-nucleotide non-coding RNA. The record is from the annotation of a RefSeq genome assembly. Lineage: Eukaryota; Metazoa; Chordata; Mammalia; Rodentia; Muridae.
AUGGAGAGGAACCUGGGAGCUGUGCUGGGGAUUCUGUGGGUGCAGAUUUGCUGGGUGAGAGGAGAUAAUGUCCAGCAGAGUCCUUCAGCUCUGAGUCUCCAUGAGGGAACCAAUCCUGCUCUGAGAUGUUAUUUUUCUACCUCCAUGAAGAGUGUGCAAUGGUUCCGACAGAUUCCCAGGGGCAGCCUCAUCAGUCUGUUCUUCCUGGCUCCAGGAACAAAGGAGAUUGGAAGGUUAAAGUCAACAUUCGAUUCUAAGGAGCGCUACAGCACCCUGCACAUCAGUGGUGCCCAGCUGGAGGACUCAGGCACCUACUUCUGUGCUGCUUUCAGAAAGUCACGGUGCUCUCAGAAAGCUUAAAGUCUGGCUCCAAACUGCAGUUGGCUGUGCAGCUACAACCCCUGCCACAGGCAGAGUCUGCAGGAGGCUUUGCAUAGCUGUGGCUUCAUCAGAUCUCCACAAAUCACAAAGAUGUGAGGAAACAUAAAAAUACCACUGUAGUUGCCACUUACAUUAUGACUGACAUGACACUGACUUCUAGAAUGCUAAAUGCUAAGAAAUAUCAGCAUGCAUGACUAAAAUAUACCCGUCAUUUUUUUCAUGUUUGUGCUAAUGUUAUAGAAUAUAAACCUCUCUUACAUAUUGGAGAAUCAUUUGGGUCAUUUGUUAAAAUUCAAAACUGAAAGCAACUGUUUUCAUCCUUUGUUUAAAGAGCACAAGACAACACUGAGCUAAUCUGCUCAAUAUGACGUUGAUAAAUUAAUUAAUUCAUCUAAUAAAUUAACUGGUAGAAAGGCAAGAGAAAUCUUAUUAUUAGAUCAAGACAUUAUAGAAAUGUCUUGAUAUUUUAAAUAUAUAAUACAUUUAAUUCUGCAGUGGAAAACAAAUAUUUCAUGUCAUAAUUAGGAGCCAAAAGAUAAAAUAAAACUAGGAAGAUGUAUUUGCAAUUUAUGUCACAAUAACACUUGUAGCCAUUGAUUCUACCUUAUAUGCAAAACUUUUCAUUAAAACACUGCUUUCAAAAGAAAA